Pyrus x bretschneideri (Chinese white pear) is the source of this 2557-nucleotide RNA transcript. RefSeq lists it as uncharacterized. The record is from RefSeq and is a predicted model, not a curated record. The transcript is spliced from 3 exons. NCBI's taxonomy places the organism in Eukaryota, Viridiplantae, Streptophyta, Magnoliopsida, Rosales, Rosaceae.
CCAAAAGACCAAGACAUCUUACAAUACCACACUCCCCCAGUCAGAGUCAGUCUCCUUCCUCUCUUAAAUUAACUGCAAAACAGAAGCAUCCACCCCUCCACACUUUUUUGUCCUUUUCCCCAAAUUUUUUUAUCAUUUUCCCAAAUUUUUGUUCUCCAAUGCAUGAUCCACUCACCUUCUCAAAAUUUUCUUUUACUUAAUUAACCCCAAUAAAAAACAUUUUGCAUGAAUGAACAGGUAACUAUUACCUGGAGAUCCGCACCCUAACGAAGUAAGAAGCUACCUCUCCCUUUCUCUCUUGUACUUCUCAUCACUUCCCACACCAACCCUUUUAAAUAUAAAGCCCCUCCUUCCUCUUCUCUUUCACUUUCACUCUUCACUCUCCCACUUCACUUCCCCUAUAUAUUUGCUUCACUUUCAUUUGUUCAAUACUUCCUCUCCCCUUGCACAUUCAUGUUCUAAUUUUUCUUUCAUCUGUUCUGUCGUUUAUUAUGUUCGUUUCGCUACGUUAAAUUGAUUGUCUCCAUUGUCCAUUUUCCUUUCGCCUUGCUGCCUUCGUCUUUCGGCUUUAGGACUAGCUCAACGCUUGAAGUAUUUUGAUUUGUGAGUUGUCAAGUAACAAUUAUUUUCUCAUUUUCUUCAUUUAUUCAUCUUCGAAAAAUGAAUGUGCAUGAUCAACAUCAAAGAAAGCCUUUUCCAGUAGAGCGAAGGCCAAGAAUGCUCCUCAAAGAUUUCCUCUGUGAAAAUUCUAACUCAUGUUCUUCAAGUGGUUUCAAUUCAUUUCCAAGAAAAUUACCAACCAACCCAAGCACUACCCCAAAAACCCUAAAUUCAUGUUCAGAAAAUACCAAUAUCAUUUCCAGAAAACUACUCAGAAGCAGAUCAAAAGCAGCCUCUACCACAAUCUCAGCAUUCCACUCCCUCAUGAAUGCAGUCAAAAACAUCCCAUUUACCACGGUUAAACCUCCCUUGUUUUUAACUAGAAGCUUUUCAAGGAGGCGGCUGCAGUCAAAAGACUCAAAACAGAACUCACCAAGGUCAUCAAGGAAGCAGGGUAGUCAAUGUCAAGUCCAAAUUACCAUGAGAGUCAAAGACAUCUUACGGUGGACAUCGUUCCGCGAUGAGAAGUUACCGCCACCUCCGCCGUUGGACUUUGUUUCUUCACCUCUGCAUUGUACCACAAGCACCACCAUAACAGGCUCCACCACUACAUGUACUACUUGUUGUAGUAAUUGCAGCAGCAACGGUUCAAGCUGGUCUGACAGUGAUUUCACCUCGGAGUUUUUACCGCCUUGGGGUGGUAACUCUGACCCUGACUGUGAGGAGGAUGGUAAAAAAUAUUCACCAUGUGUCGGCAGGGAUUCCAUGGAGAUGGACGCUACAUCAGGGACAGGAAGUUACGCCGCAUUGGGACCCAAGGCUGAGCUGCAACUGUGUGAUGAAGAAGAUGAGCAGCACAGCCCAAUUUCAGUGCUUGGUUUUCAAUUUGGGGAAGAUGAAGACUCGUCAUAUUCAAGUACUUUUGGUCAAAGCAUGGCCAAUAUGGAGAGGACAAAAGAAAUGCUUAUGCAGAAGAUCGAGCUCUUUGAGAGUCUUGCAACAAUAUAUCCCGUCAACUUAGACACAUCAAUGUCGUUCAACGAAAGAGCCAACUUUGAAGAAGAUGAUGAAACAGCAGAAAGGGCAAUGGAGCUGUUAAACCAUUGCAAAGCAAGCUGCUCAGACCUAAAGAGCUGGGAGCUGGAAAUAGUGGAAGAUCAACUAUUGUUUGAUUUUUUUAGAGAAGAAAUGGGUGCACAACGAAAUAAAAAAGAUGAUGAGUUUAAUAGGGAAAUGGUUAGCAAAGCAAAAGCUUGGAUGAGUGGGGAGUGGGGAUCACUAGAGCACAACAAGGAAGCUUGUGUGAGAGAUAUGCACAAAGAAGGAGGUGGAACAAGUUUGAGUUUGAGCAAGAGGAGCUGGCUUUGGAAAUAGAGACUGCCUUGUCAGAGCACUUGGUGGAUGAGCUUUUGCUUGAUCUCUUAUCGAGAUAAGAACUCUACUUCUAGAGAAGGACUUAUCUACAUUUUCAGUAUGUUAUACUCUAGCGUUCUGCACCAAUGAUGUAAUGUCAUGUGUUAUACUAUUCUUACGGAGUAUAUUGCAUCAUUGGUCCUGUAUGCUAUUGAAGAACGUAUCAUACGUAUGGUAGCGUAUCGGAAUGUAGGCAAGUCCCUAUUCUAGUUCUAGGGGUCUACUCACUUGGUUUCAGUUAGGGCCCCGUGGAUGAGGCAUGUCUUAUGAUAACAGCCAGUCGCAGUUUCCAAUAGUGGCCUUCGGCUAAGACCAAGGAUGGACGGAGACAGUGGAUGAGCAAUUGAGAGCAUUGGGUAUAAAGUGACCAUCUUUUCUGUGUCCCUGAGAAUUUCAUCAUUUGUAAAGACAGGAUGAAAAAGAAUGUGAGAGUGAGAGGCAUAACUUAUGCCCCAUUUUUUGUAGGGUCUGCAUUUUGAACAUUUGUGAAAAUAAAUGUGUAAUAAGAAUUAAAUUCUCAGAAAGACUAUUGAUUUUAACACUC